AAGUCGUAACAAGGUUUCCGUAGGUGAACCUGCGGAAGGAUCAUUAACACGUAUCCAACGUUAAACCCCCCUGUGAACUUUUAUACUUGCUCUCUUAACUGACGGAAUUGCAAUCCCUGGUAAAUCAUUGUUGAACAGAUUUUGAUUCAGGGACCUCAGUUUGACAGUAGGAUUGAGCGAUCGUUGCAAGUGGCCUGGUUUCCCCAAGCAGUCAGUGUCUGAAAGUGGCAUUGAUUGUGUAAGGAUAGCGCUUCUACGAUUCCUGCAGACCGUACACUCGGGCAGGAGCUUUGCCAAAGGGUCCCCAUGCCCCCUAAUAACCACAGUUUAAUGUGAAGCUCAAUGUAAUACAUUGGGUAAAAAAACCGAACAACUGUUAACAAUGGAUAUCUUGGUUCUC
This 400-nucleotide unclassified non-coding RNA is filed under the name fungal sp. Its description in RNAcentral is "partial internal transcribed spacer region". The stretch from base 1 to 46 matches the Rfam family "Eukaryotic small subunit ribosomal RNA", at positions 1786 to 1831 of the family's 1831-position model. The record is from RNAcentral. Lineage: Eukaryota; Fungi.